AGCAGCCGCGGUAAUUCCAGCUCCAAUAGCGUAUAUUAAAGUUGUUGCAGUUAAAAAGCUCGUAGUUGAAUUUCGGGAUCAGUACGCUGGUCGUGCCUUUGGUAUGCACUGGUGUCACUGGUUCCUCCCUUCUGAAGAACUGUCAUGCCAUUAAUUUGGUGUGGCGGGGAAUCAGGACUGUUACUUUGAAAAAAUUAGAGUGUUUAAAGCAGGCUCGCGCUUGAAUACAUUAGCAUGGAAUAAUGAAAUAGGACGUUUGAUCCUAUUUUGUGGUUUCUAGGAUCGACGUAAUGAUUAAUAGGGAUAGUUGGGGGCAUUAGUAUUCAAUUGUCAGAGGUGAAAUUCUUGGAUUUAUUGAAGACUAACUACUGCGAAAGCAUUUGCCAAGGAUGUUUUCAUUAAUCAAGAACGAAAGUUAGGGGAUCGAAGACGAUCAGAUACCGUCGUAGUCUUAAACCAUAAAACUAUGCCGACUAGGGAUCGGAUGAUGUUAAUUUUUUAAUGACUCA
This 509-nucleotide ribosomal RNA is filed under the name uncultured Glomus. RNAcentral's name for it is "SSU rRNA". It matches the Rfam family "Eukaryotic small subunit ribosomal RNA", at positions 569 to 1078 of the family's 1831-position model. The record is from RNAcentral. Lineage: Eukaryota; Fungi; Glomeromycota; Glomeromycetes; Glomerales; Glomeraceae.